ACAUAAUUAACUCAAAUAUAUCGUAUUAAAUAUUUAUAUUCUCCUAGUUAACGUGAAUAUAUAUAUCGCAUUAAAUAUUUAGGUCCUAGUAGUUAAUUCAAAUAUAUAUCCUAUUAAUGAUUUAGAUUGAUACACCCUAUACUUAUAAAUAAGCAUUAAUUGACGCCAACCAAAAACUGCAUUUUAGAACUAGUAUAUAUAGAUGAUAUCAGCGACGUUAAUCUCACAUUCUGAACAUAGAGUACUAUCCCACCAAAACCAUUCGAUCGAAGCCAUUUCAAGAUCAGCUACAGUACCAGAAUCAAGAUGGCAGCAAAAUUUUCUUCAGUCAUCUGCAAGGUCCUCCUCAUAGUUGUCACCAUGGUUGCCCUUCUCUUCUCCUCUGGUUUAGCCGAUGACGGUCCUGGGUACGAGUAUUGCUUCCUAAAGUGCAUCGACGAAUGCAACCAAACCUGUAAGUCGAGUGGUUACACCCAUGGAGGCGACUGCAACACUGGACCCUGUUGCUGCCUUUGGUAGUAGUGUAGUAGUGCUCAUGAAAAAUCAAUGGAUUAAUGGAAUAUGUUUCAUUACUUCCAUUCAUGUAAACAUGAUUACUGCUUGAUGUGAUGGCUAUUGGUGAACUGAAAUAAAAUGCGAAUGUUUUUAGUUGA
Molecule: long non-coding RNA, 653 nt
Organism: Oryza sativa Japonica Group (Japanese rice)
Lineage: Eukaryota; Viridiplantae; Streptophyta; Magnoliopsida; Poales; Poaceae
Source: RefSeq, a predicted model, not a curated record